Molecule: small nuclear RNA, 197 nt
Organism: Magnolia sinica
Lineage: Eukaryota; Viridiplantae; Streptophyta; Magnoliopsida; Magnoliales; Magnoliaceae
Product: U2 spliceosomal RNA
Exons: 1
Source: RefSeq, a predicted model, not a curated record
ACACUUGCUAGGAAUUACAAGAAAACCAAGUUAUGUAGUAUCUAUUCUUAUCAGUUCAAUAUCUGAUACAUGGCCCAUCGGGUCACAUGAUUUUAAAUUAAUUUCUUAUGGGGGAUGGUCCACCACAGCAGCUUGCUGCUGGGAUCAUUGAGCGUCACCUUUGCAUUGCACUAUUGCAUGGGCCUAGCGCACCCUUC